GUCACCUGGAGAUCUUGUUAAAAUGCAGACUCUGAUUCAGUAGACCUGCGGUGGGGCCUGAGGUUCUGCAUGUCUAACAAGUUCCCAGGUGUGGAGAU
This 98-nucleotide microRNA precursor is filed under the name Sus scrofa (pig). Its description in RNAcentral is "mir-544 microRNA precursor family". It matches the Rfam family "mir-544 microRNA precursor family". The record is from Rfam by way of RNAcentral. Lineage: Eukaryota; Metazoa; Chordata; Mammalia; Artiodactyla; Suidae.